GACAUUUGGGGACUUGUCCUGAACCACUCCUGCAUUGUCUUGGCUGUGUGUUUAGGGUCGUUGUUCUGUUGGAAGAUGAACCUUCGCCCCGGUCUGAGUAACCUUUGAAAAUACGACAUCCACCUCCCAACCUCUCACACCAUCCAACUCCACUCCUGCUACCCCCGGUCCCACCACUUCCUGUGUGUGUAAUAUCUCCACUUCCUGUUCCCCUCCGACCAAGCCCAAGUCUCCGCCACCUGCGCUGGGUGUUGUCAAGAUCAACUGGCAAGCAAAGUCCUGUAAGGGGGACAUACACCUGUGUCUCCUCUUGGGUGGAGACACCUGUCUCUCCACCCAUUCCUUACCACUCUGCUUUAACAGUUGGGCCAAUCUUAGCCUUGAACUGGCAGAAUCGUGUGAGAGGAAGGGCUGCGGGGGCUCCGCUAAGUGGACUGAGACCCCUGCUAGCUCUGAGGGUUACCAGAUCGAUAGGGAUGGAAGGGUUACCAAUAACUCCUGUACAACACUGAUAAUCCAAUGCGAAGUCGUCCCAGAUCAGUUAGUGGGCUAUAAGGUGGUGACUGGACUGCUGUGUGUUCUGGUGCUGGUGGUGCUGAUGGUGCGUUUCGGGCAGCCCUCCCUCAAGGCCCUCCGUAAGAGAUUGUCAGACAAGAGACAGAGUCGGUGGAUCGGACCUACGCAGAGCCAAAGUGUCUCCUACCAUAGAGGGAAGGCUGGACUCCAACUUAACGACAACACAGACAAGAGACACUCCUACCCUGGAUUGGAGAGGCUGACGGUGAACACUAGCCGAGAGCCGUCGUCUAACAGAAACAGUGAUUAUGACUCUUAUAACUUGUGAUCAUCAUCUUCAUCAUCAUCAGUCAUAUUCUCCAUCCUCUAUGACAAAAUACUGUACAUGUAUUUUUUAUAUUUUAUUAUAUAUUUUUAUGCACAUAAUAUCAUUUUUUGUUAUUGUUUCUGUGUGUAAUUCAAUCAUUCACUUCUUUUAUUGAAUAAAAAGUAA
Oncorhynchus tshawytscha (Chinook salmon) is the source of this 1009-nucleotide long non-coding RNA. NCBI's taxonomy places the organism in Eukaryota, Metazoa, Chordata, Actinopteri, Salmoniformes, Salmonidae. The record is from Ensembl.